AAACAUUGAAGUAAUAAUUACAUUUAGUUUCGACCUAAAAUUAGAGUUUUAACUCCUUGUUUA
This 63-nucleotide transfer RNA is filed under the name Leptocoris augur. RNAcentral describes it as "tRNA-Arg". Lineage: Eukaryota; Metazoa; Arthropoda; Insecta; Hemiptera; Rhopalidae. The record is from RNAcentral.